This 451-nucleotide ribosomal RNA is filed under the name uncultured bacterium. RNAcentral's name for it is "partial 16S ribosomal RNA". It matches the Rfam family "Bacterial small subunit ribosomal RNA", at positions 354 to 796 of the family's 1533-position model. The record is from RNAcentral.
GUGGGGAAUAUUGGACAAUGGGGGGAACCCUGAUCCAGCCAUGCCGCGUGUGUGAAGAAGGCCUUUUGGUUGUAAAGCACUUUAAGCGAGGAGGAGGCUACCGAGAUUAAUACUCUUGGAUAGUGGACGUUACUCGCAGAAUAAGCACCGGCUAACUCUGUGCCAGCAGCCGCGGUAAGACAGAGGGUGCAAGCGUUAAUCGGAUUUACUGGGCGUAAAGCGCGCGAAGGUGGCCAAUUAAGUCAAAUGUGAAAUCCCCGAGCUUAACUUGGGAAUUGCAUUCGAUACUGGUUGGCUAGAGUAUGGGAGAGGAUGGUAGAAUUCCAGGUGUAGCGGUGAAAUGCGUAGAGAUCUGGAGGAAUACCGAUGGCGAAGGCAGCCAUCUGGCCUAAUACUGACACUGAGGUGCGAAAGCAUGAGGAGCAAACAGGAUUAGAAACCCGUGUAGUCC